Molecule: ribosomal RNA, 254 nt
Filed under: uncultured bacterium
Lineage: Bacteria
Description: partial 16S ribosomal RNA
Rfam family: Bacterial small subunit ribosomal RNA
Source: RNAcentral
UACAGAGGGGGCAAGCGUUUAUUCGGAAUUAUUGGGCGUAAAGGGCGCGUAGGCGGCUUUGCAAGUGGCGGGUGAAAUCCCUCGGCUUAACUCGGAACGGUCAAGUGAUACUGUCGGACUAGAGUACAGAAGGGGCAACUGGAAUUCUCGGUGUAGCGGUGAAAUGCGUAGAUAUCGAGAGGAACACCUGCGGCGAAGGCGGGUUGCUGGGCUGAUACUGACGCUGAGGCGCGAAAGCCAGGGGAGCGAACGGG